This 679-nucleotide ribosomal RNA is filed under the name uncultured Nocardiopsis sp. RNAcentral's name for it is "bacterial SSU rRNA". It matches the Rfam family "Bacterial small subunit ribosomal RNA", at positions 1 to 683 of the family's 1533-position model. The record is from RNAcentral. Lineage: Bacteria; Bacillati; Actinomycetota; Actinomycetes; Streptosporangiales; Nocardiopsidaceae.
GCCCUUAGAGUUUGAUCCUGGCUCAGGACGAACGCUGGCGGCGUGCUUAACACAUGCAAGUCGAGCGGUAAGGCCCUUCGGGGUACACGAGCGGCGAACGGGUGAGUAACACGUGAGCAACCUGCCCCUGACUCUGGGAUAAGCGGUGGAAACGCCGUCUAAUACCGGAUACGACCUUCCACCUCAUGGUGGAGGGUGGAAAGUUUUUUCGGUCAGGGAUGGGCUCGCGGCCUAUCAGCUUGUUGGUGGGGUAACGGCCUACCAAGGCGAUUACGGGUAGCCGGCCUGAGAGGGCGACCGGCCACACUGGGACUGAGACACGGCCCAGACUCCUGCGGGAGGCAGCAGUGGGGAAUAUUGCGCAAUGGGCGAAAGCCUGACGCAGCGACGCCGCGUGGGGGAUGACGGCCUUCGGGUUGUAAACCUCUUUUACCACCAACGCAGGCUCCGGGUUCUCUCGGGGUUGACGGUAGGUGGGGAAUAAGGACCGGCUAACUACGUGCCAGCAGCCGCGGUAAUACGUAGGGUCCGAGCGUUGUCCGGAAUUAUUGGGCGUAAAGAGCUCGUAGGCGGCGUGUCGCGUCUGCUGUGAAAGACCGGGGCUUAACUCCGGUUCUGCAGUGGAUACGGGCAUGCUAGAGGUAGGUAGGGGGAGACUGGAAUUCCUGGUGUAGCGGUG